Molecule: unclassified non-coding RNA, 20 nt
Filed under: Mus musculus (house mouse)
Lineage: Eukaryota; Metazoa; Chordata; Mammalia; Rodentia; Muridae
Description: oocyte_clustered_small_RNA9623
Source: RNAcentral
GAUCACCUCCACUUGUCCCA